This 69-nucleotide transfer RNA is filed under the name Cryptotriton nasalis (Cortes salamander). Its description in RNAcentral is "tRNA-Asp". RNAcentral also lists the same sequence under 1 other name. Lineage: Eukaryota; Metazoa; Chordata; Amphibia; Caudata; Plethodontidae. The record is from RNAcentral.
AAGAUGUUAGUAAAAUAUUACAAAGCCUUGUCAUGGCUUAACUGCCGGUCUAAACCCGACACAUCUUCU